AUGGUACUUUUAAAGAACUUGACAAAGUUAUAAGAGUUCUAACCCAAAGUUGUAAUUUUUACACUUUUGCUACUUAACCCACAUAUCUUGUAAUUUCACACUGCUUACGUUAAGUUUGCAUUCUCGUGGUAUAUACUCUUGGUAAUCCGUUUUGAUUAUCCUGAUUCUUAUGAAAGCACUUUCGAAGUUUCUGGAAUCUAAUAGCCAAAAAAGAGUGCUUUCAAGCAAGUCUGUUUUAAGACAGUGAAACUAACUAAUCUCUCUCUUUACUCAAGGUUCUUGAAACAACAGCUACUUCACAGGUAAUUAAGAAAAGCUUUUUUUAUUUGGUCCAAACAUGGCUAACCAGGAUUCAGUAUCCAUUCACAUAAUCUGACUUGAUUUUAGAGUAUGUAGCUAGAAGUGAGCUUUAUAAAGAGCUACAAAACUACUUCAGCGCAUCAACUGUGAGUCCUAGUGAUAUUGACCUUACCGUUACCUCUGGAUCUGAACUAGUAUGAUUUUGGAUGGUCUGUGUACACAUUUAACCAAAGAAGGAUUAUGUCUGGCACUCUUGUUUACCUCCCACCUAAGAUGGUGGAAAGUGUUGAACACGAUGCAAAUGUCGGAUAAAUGGCUUGUUGUAUUUCUGAGAUGUUGGGUUUGGACAGUUUCCGUGUUGAACCGUUUCCACCCACAUCUCGAGAGGCUAUUAGAUAUCCCACAUCGAAUGAUGGGAUGAAUCCUUGGGUAAUAUAUAUGUGAUGUGGCAACCCUUCUCCCUUUAACUAGCUUUUGUUGGGAUUAAUUAGACCACAUUACUAAUAGUUCCCACUCUCAUACCUCGUAACCUUUCAUCCACGUACAAAUAGAAGAAGAAGAAACGAAAAAUAAAGCAAAAGAAAAUGCAUAAGACGAUAUAUAAUUUCUUAUAUUAUGUGAGAUUUAAGCUUUUCAUUCACAUAAAAAAAUGUACAUAUACGUUCUUUUAGUAUAAUAAAUC
This is a long non-coding RNA of Capsella rubella, 982 nucleotides long. RefSeq lists it as uncharacterized. Lineage: Eukaryota; Viridiplantae; Streptophyta; Magnoliopsida; Brassicales; Brassicaceae. The transcript has 3 exons. The record is from RefSeq and is a predicted model, not a curated record.